Molecule: transfer RNA, 77 nt
Filed under: Escherichia coli
Lineage: Bacteria; Pseudomonadati; Pseudomonadota; Gammaproteobacteria; Enterobacterales; Enterobacteriaceae
Also listed under: 13 other names
Description: tRNA-Arg
Rfam family: tRNA
About the family: Transfer RNA (tRNA) molecules are approximately 80 nucleotides in length. Their secondary structure includes four short double-helical elements and three loops (D, anti-codon, and T loops).
Source: RNAcentral
GCGCCCGUAGCUCAGCUGGAUAGAGCGCUGCCCUCCGGAGGCAGAGGUCUCAGGUUCGAAUCCUGUCGGGUGCGCCA